AGCAGCCGCGGUAAUUCCAGCUCCAAUAGCGUAUAUUAAAGUUGUUGCAGUUAAAAAGCUCGUAGUUGAAUUUCGGGAUCAAUUUAUUGGUCGUGCUAUUGUACGUACUGGUAUUAUUGAUUCCUACCUUCUGACGAACCAUGAUGUCAUUAAUUUGGUGUCUUGGGGAAUCAGGACUGUUACUUUGAAAAAAUUAGAGUGUUUAAAGCAGGCUCACGCUUGAAUACAUUAGCAUGGAAUAACGAAAUAGGACGUUUGAUUCUAUUUUGUUGGUUUCUAGGAUCGACGUAAUGAUUAAUAGGGAUAGUUGGGGGCAUUAGUAUUCAAUUGUCAGAGGUGAAAUUCUUGGAUUUAUUGAAGACUAACUACUGCGAAAGCAUUUGCCAAGGAUGUUUUCAUUAAUCAAGAACGAAAGUUAGGGGAUCGAAGACGAUCAGAUACCGUCGUAGUCUUAACCAUAAACUAUGCCGACUAGGGAUCGGAUGAUGUUAAUUUUUAAUGACUCAUUCGGCGCCUUACG
Molecule: ribosomal RNA, 520 nt
Filed under: uncultured Glomus
Lineage: Eukaryota; Fungi; Glomeromycota; Glomeromycetes; Glomerales; Glomeraceae
Description: SSU rRNA
Rfam family: Eukaryotic small subunit ribosomal RNA
Source: RNAcentral